AUACGGAGGGUGCAAGCGUUACUCGGAAUUACUGGGCGUAAAGGACGCGUAGGCGGUUUAGAAAGUCAGAUGUGAAAGCCUAUGGCUUAACCAUAGAACUGCAUCUGAAACUCCUAGACUAGAGUGAGGGAGAGGUCAGUGGAAUUAGUGGUGUAGGGGUAAAAUCCGUAGAGAUCACUAGGAAUACUCAUAGCGAAGGCGACUGCCUGGAACUUUACUGACGCUGAGGCGUGAAAGCGUGGGGAGCAAACAGGAUUAGAAACCCCAGUAGUCC
RNAcentral lists this ribosomal RNA (274 nucleotides) under uncultured bacterium. Its description in RNAcentral is "partial 16S ribosomal RNA". It matches the Rfam family "Bacterial small subunit ribosomal RNA", at positions 523 to 796 of the family's 1533-position model. The record is from RNAcentral.